RNAcentral lists this ribosomal RNA (492 nucleotides) under uncultured bacterium. RNAcentral describes it as "partial 16S ribosomal RNA". It matches the Rfam family "Bacterial small subunit ribosomal RNA", at positions 29 to 507 of the family's 1533-position model. The record is from RNAcentral.
AGUGAACGCUGGCGGUAGGCCUAACACAUGCAAGUCGAACGGCAGCACAGUAAGAGCUUGCUCUUACGGGUGGCGAGUGGCGGACGGGUGAGGAAUACAUCGGAAUCUACUUUUUCGUGGGGGAUAACGUAGGGAAACUUACGCUAAUACCGCAUACGACCUACGGGUGAAAGCAGGGGAUCUUCGGACCUUGCGCGAUUGAAUGAGCCGAUGUCGGAUUAGCUAGUUGGCGGGGUAAAGGCCCACCAAGGCGCCGAUCCGUAGCUGGUCUGAGAGGAUGAUCAGCCACACUGGAGCUGAGACACGGUCCAGACUCCUACGGGAGGCAGCAGUGGGGAAUAUUGGACAAUGGGCGCAAGCCUGAUCCAGCCAUACCGCGUGGGUGAAGAAGGCCUUCGGGUUGUAAAGCCCUUUUGUUGGGAAAGAAAAGCAGCAGGUUAAUACCCCGCUGUUCUGACGGUACCCAAAGAAUAAGCACCGGCUAACUUCGUG